RNAcentral lists this ribosomal RNA (207 nucleotides) under uncultured Bacillota bacterium. RNAcentral describes it as "uncultured Firmicutes bacterium partial 16S ribosomal RNA". It matches the Rfam family "Bacterial small subunit ribosomal RNA", at positions 568 to 774 of the family's 1533-position model. Lineage: Bacteria; Bacillati; Bacillota. The record is from RNAcentral.
CGCGUAGACGGAUCUGUAAGUCAGAUGUGAAAUACCGGGGCUCAACCCCGGGGCUGCAUUUGAAACUAUGGAUCUUGAGUGCAGGAGAGGGAAGCGGAAUUCCUAGUGUAGCGGUGAAAUGCGUAGAUAUUAGGAGGAACACCAGUGGCGAAGGCGGCUUUCUGGACUGUAACUGACGUUGAGGCGCGAAAGCGUGGGUAGCAAACA